AUGGAGCUGAAGGCUUUAGUUGGAGGUCUUUUCCUGAGUUUGCUUGUUCUCUGGAAUGUUUGUUACUGUGUUCAAUCUCAUCAGGACGCGACCGAGACCGUAAUCAACCUCUUGGAGGCUCUUAACGUCACUCGCUCUACCCACGGGGUGUCUAAGGUCAAAGGUCGUGACCCAAAGACGCCGGCUUGGCGUUUCCGUUCCAACACGCCUCAUCUCAAACUACCCCAGACACUUUUGGACUACCUCUUCAACACCUCACAGGGCGUCCUGGGUUUGCACCUGGUGGGCCGUCAGAGCAGAGGCUCGGAGGCCACCCUCAUCUCCUUCACCUCCUCUACCUUCCUGCAGAAUGGCGAUCGCCCCCUGCUGGAGCUCGUCUCCAACACAAAAGCAGACAGGCUGCAGCUGGAGUUCAGGUCAGCGGACGGCAUGCGGCCGGAGGUGCUAAAGUUGCCCGCCGGGAGUCCCUUUACGAGCAGAGGUUGGGUGAGGAUGGCUCUGAGUGUGGAGCCCAGGCAGAUGGUGCUGUAUGUGGACUGCCAGGAUGCCGUGGUGCUCAAACUGAAAGAAGGGGGACGAAUCCUGACUCUGGACUUCCCACAUGAUCUGCAGGUUAUCUUCUCCAGCACUGCAGGAAAAAAGGCCAGCAAGUUCAGUGUGAGUUUACUGAUACAAACAAAUAUGUACCUACAUGCUAGUGUAUCUGGACACCUAAAAAUUUGCCAUUUUUUGACUUCUAAUCAACUGAUCCCAAUGGAAUUUUUAAACACGGACCUGCAGGCGAGAGUUGACUACCUGGAAACGUGUGAGUGUUCGAAACGGAAUUGCGUGUGGGAGGGACGUGAGAUGGAUGAGGGGUCCCGCUGGUCUCCUGACAGCCGCACUGUCUGUUACUGCACCCAUGGGAAAGUGUAUUUGUUUUUUCUUCCGUGUAAAUUUUUAGGAUGUGAACAUGAGGGUGAAAUCUAUGAGAAUGGGAAGCAGUUUGUGUCGAGAUCAAACCCUUGCCUCCAGUGCAGCUGCUCUGUGAGUCUACUGUGUGUGUGUUCUCCUUGUGGGGAUGAAAUUGAAAUUAAAAUUGAAACAAAAAAUAACUGUACCACAAAACCUUUAAAAACCACCCAAGAAAAAGAUGAUAAAAGGUCAGGGAAUAUAGUCUGUAACACUGAGACGUGUCCUGAAAUUGCCUGUAAUUUGGUGGAGACUGUAGGUGGGCAGUGCUGUCCCAGGUGUCGAAGUUGUGUCCAGGAGAAUGUGCGGCACCAACACAGCUCUCAGUGGAAGCUUCCUAAUGACCCCUGCACGACCUGUACAUGCACGUUGGGUCUGGUUCAGUGUGAGAGUGAGCGCUGUAAUAUCCGCUGUAAUAGCCCAGCCUCUCCUCCUCCUGGAUCCUGCUGUCCUGUCUGUGACGGUUGCAGUUUGAAUGGAAUAGAUAUCCCGAACGGGAUGACUCUGCCGCCAGGACCCACAUGUGAUCCCACGUGUAAAUGUGAGAAUGGAAAUAUUAAAUGCGUUCAGUACCCACCCUGCCCACCGACUCCCUGUCAUAAUCCAGUCAGGAGACCAGGAGAAUGCUGUGGCGAGGCGUACACAGACGGUCAAACCUUUGUGUCCAGACAGGAUCCAUGCUUAAGAUGUCAGUGCUCGGGUGGACAAGUGUCGUGUGAAUCUGCAACAUCUUCAUGUCCGUCUGCGAGUUGCACGCACCCAACAAAACCACACGACCAGUGCUGUCCAACUUGUAACAGUGGCGAUUGCUGUGGUGAUUCCUGUGGGCAGUGCCAGUACAAUCAGCGCUUGUAUGAAAACGGCCAAACGUUCAAGGACCCGGAUGAUGCCUGUAAGACGUGCACCUGUCAGAAUGGUCAGACAAGUUGUGCUAUGCCUGCAUGUCCCCAACCGACGUGUGCUAAUGCAUACACUCCUCCUGGAGAGUGCUGUCCCCGGUGUUCAGACUGUGAAUAUGAUGAUAACCACAUCAUUACUAAUGGAGAAUCAUUUCCAAAUCCUUCGAAUCCAUGUGAGGAUUGUGUUUGCCAAGACGGACGUGUGAACUGUGGGAAUCAUGAGUGUCCGAGGCCGAAUUGUAACUAUCCCCGGCCGGGGACGUGCUGCCAAAACAACUGCAAUGGAUGUAGUUAUGCAGGUAAUGAGUAUCCAAAUGGAAUGGAAUUUCCUCAUCCAGUAGACAAAUGCAGGACGUGCCGUUGUGAAAAUGGUAACGUCCAGUGUCUGAGGAAGCAAUGUCAGGUGGCAAAUUGUGCUGGUGCGUUCGUUCCAUCAGGAGAGUGCUGCCCCCAGUGUCCAGAAGCCCCUGCUGACUGCAUUUUUGAAAGACAGCGUUACAGUCACUUGCAGCAGUUCCAUCAUCCCGUUGACAGCUGUCAGUCAUGCUUCUGCACCAAUGGGGAGGUGAGCUGCCAUCGCAGGCCCUGCCCCUCUGCUGUCUGCUCUCACCCUGUAAUUCAAGAGUGCUGUCGCACAUGUGAUGCCUGCAUGUAUGAUGGCCGGGAGUAUCAGAAUGGUCAGGAGUUUCCAGACCUCGCUGAUCGCUGCAGUCAUUGCAUGUGCAGGAAUGGUCAGGUGACCUGCAACAGGAGGCCAUGUCCAAACCCAGGAUGUAGUAACCCCAUCACCCAGCCGGGCCAGUGCUGUCCAGUGUGUGAUGCCUGCAUGCAUGAUGGCCGGGAGUAUCAGAACGGUCAGGAGUUUCCAGACCCCACUGAUCGCUGCAGUCGUUGCAUGUGCAGGAAUGGUCAGGUGACCUGCAACAGGAGGCCAUGUCCAAACCCAGGAUGUAGUAACCCCAUCACCCGGCCGGGCCAGUGCUGUCCAGUGUGUGAUGUUGUAUUCUGUGUUUUAGCUUGCAUGUAUGAUGGCCGGGAGUAUCAGAACGGUCAGGAGUUUCCAGACCCCGCUGAUCGCUGCAGUCAUUGCAUGUGCAGGAAUGGUCAGGUGACCUGCGACAGGAGGCCAUGUCCAAACCCAGGAUGUAGUAACCCCAUCACCCAGCCGGGCCAGUGCUGUCCAGUGUGUGAUGCUUGCAUGUAUGAUGGCCGGGAGUAUCAGAACGGUCAGGAGUUUCCAGACCCCGCUGAUCGCUGCAGUCAUUGCAUGUGCAGGAAUGGUCAGGUGACCUGCGACAGGAGGAAGCGGUGUCCUCAACAGUGCGCUCAUCCGGUGAGCAUGAGGGACUGCUGUCCCGUGUGUGACGGCUGUCUGUUUGAAGGGCAGCGGUACGGAAACACGCAGACGUUCUACGCCCCCUCAGACCCCUGCAAGCGCUGCGUGUGUCAGAGCGGCUCUGUUACAUGCAGCCCGGUCAAUUGUCCCCCGGUUUCCUGCCAUAACCCCAUCAUCCCGCCGGGACAGUGCUGCCCACAGUGCAGAGCGUGUUUUCAGCAAGGUCGGGAGUAUUUAGAAGGACAGAGCUUGACCCUCCCCAAUGAGCCCUGCAUCAAAUGCACCUGUGUGAACGGUGAGGUGAACUGUGUGGGUCCAGACUGUCCUAAACUGACCUGCAUGCAUCAGGUCACUGAUCCCGGCUCCUGCUGUCCCCGCUGCAGAGGCUGUAUUUAUGAUGGCGUUGAGCACCUUGAAGGCAGUACCUGGUUUGCAUCCAGCAGUCCCUGCAUGUCCUGCAUGUGUGUGAAUGGAGUGACCACCUGCUCAGAGGUCUACUGUCUGUCCACCUGUCUAAACCAGAUCAGCGUGCCGGGCGAAUGCUGCCCAGUGUGUGCAGACUGUGUGUAUGAAGGCCGUGUGUACGGCCCUGGAGAGAGUUUCCACGCCUCUGAUGACCCCUGUCAGAUCUGCAUCUGUGAGGUGAUGCCAGACGGGGAACAGCACUUGCGCUGUUACAAGAAGCAGUGCCCAAGUCUGGUGGACUGUCCUAAACACAACAUCCUAUACAGUGGCUCUGACUCCUGCUGCCCUGUCUGUGCACAGCCCCUCAGUAACUGCACAGCUACACUGAUCGGUAAUGAAGUGUUGGCCACUCAUGAUCCGUGUUUUACCUGUCAGUGCAAGGAUUUGACGUGGACAUGUAUCCAUCGGGGCUGUCCUCCUCUCAGUUGCCCUCCGGCCGAUCAGCACACACCGCCGGAUUCCUGCUGCCCCGUCUGUGAUGAGUGUGUAUUAGACGGCAACCAAACCCGCGUGUCAAACGGCCGGAGAUGGACAGACAAGGAGAACGAGUGUGUCACCUGCAUCUGCAAUCAAGGGCAUAUCGAGUGUGAUCUGCAGGAGUGUUCUCCUCUCGAUUGUCUGAAUGGAUCGAUCAAAGUGAAGAACCCUGGGAAGUGCUGUCCUGAGUGCACAGGCAUCUUAACUGUGGUUUACUCCAAAGACGCUCUUGCGCAGUGUGUGUACGAUGGUCAGCGGUACAACCACAAUGACCACUGGGAAGUGGACGAGUGUACGUCCUGCACCUGUGUGUAUGGAGAAGUGCACUGCCAGACCCAGAGAUGCCCAACGCUCACAUGUGCCUCGGAUGAAACGCCGGCUCUGGUUCCGGGAAUGUGUUGUCCUCACUGCAUUCCUCACCCCGCCACCUGCAUUGUGUUUGGAGACCCUCACUACCGAACGUUUGAUGGAAAGAUGGUGAACUUCCAGGGGAAGUGCACAUAUGUUCUGGCUCAGGACUGUGAGGGUGGAGACUUCAGUGUUCAUGUGUCUAAUGAGGACCGGGGACGUAGGGGAGUGUCUUGGACUAAAGAAGUGUCUGUGUUUAUUGGAGAUAUUGUGGUACAGCUGUUUCAGGACUGGAUUGUCAAGGUUGAUUAUCAGCAAGUCUCUCUGCCGUUUCUUAAAGAACCGUAUGUUUACCUGGAGCGCAAGACCAACACCAUCCUCCUGAACACCAAUGUUGGGCUGAAGGUGUUGUGGAAUGGUCGUUCUCAUCUGGAAGUCAGUGUUCCUGGUACCUACAAGAAGUACAUGUGUGGUUUAUGUGGCAACUUCAAUAACUACCCUCAGGACGACACGAAACUACGCAAUGGACAAAUCACCAGCUCUGAAGCAGUGUUUGGAAACAACUGGAAGGUUAAGACUGGAAAUCCAAGUGUUCAGUGUCCUGAUGCGAUAAACAUUCACCCAUGUAAAGAAGCAGGAUACUCGGCCCGUAAGACUGCGAAUGCUCGCUGUGCAGUGCUGAAGUCGCCCGUGUUUGAGCGCUGUCAUAAGCUGGUGCCACCCGAGAUGUUCUAUGCUUCGUGUGUGUAUGAUCUGUGUGCCUGCGGCUCCAAUAUAGACGAGUGUUUGUGUGACGUGUUGGAGGCUUACGCGUCUGAGUGCCGUGAGGCUGGAGUUAUCCUGCAGUGGAGGUCGCCGACACUCUGCGCCGUGGGCUGUCCGCUUGACCGUGGUUAUGUGUUUGAUGAAUGCGGGCCGCCGUGUCCUAAGACGUGUUUUAACAAAGAUGUGCCGCUUGGCGUGAUCGAGGCUCACUGCUUCAAACCCUGUGUGCCGGGAUGCCAGUGUCCCGCUGGCCUAGUGGAACACAACGCUCACUGCAUCGCCCCCGAGAAAUGCCCGAAAAUUAUCCACGGCAAUCUCUGAGACCCACAAACUCGACCAAACAUCACGUGGAGUCAAACCAGCUAAAACUGAGAUCUGAUGAACCACAACAAGCUCUUUAAGUCAACACGAAAUCAGAAUUUGCUUUAUUUCUUUUUAAUUCAUAUUCCUG
Molecule: long non-coding RNA, 5692 nt
Filed under: Sinocyclocheilus anshuiensis
Lineage: Eukaryota; Metazoa; Chordata; Actinopteri; Cypriniformes; Cyprinidae
Description: lncRNA (ENSSANG00000008672.1)
Source: RNAcentral